GAUCCUGGCUCAGGACGAACGCUGGCGGCGUGCUUAACACAUGCAAGUCGAACGCUGAAGCUUGGUGCUUGCACUGGGUGGAUGAGUGGCGAACGGGUGAGUAAUACGUGAGUAACCUGCCCUUGACUCUGGGAUAAGCCUGGGAAACUGGGUCUAAUACUGGAUAUGACAUGUCACCGCAUGGUGGUGUGUGGAAAGGGUUUUACUGGUUUUGGAUGGGCUCACGGCCUAUCAG
Molecule: ribosomal RNA, 235 nt
Filed under: uncultured bacterium
Lineage: Bacteria
Description: partial 16S ribosomal RNA
Rfam family: Bacterial small subunit ribosomal RNA
Source: RNAcentral